AGGUUUUGCAUACUUAAGACGAAUCCCAAACUCCAAAGAAAAUAUGGAGAAUGGAAUAAUACAUUGGAACCGCUUGUUACGCAUGUGAUUUGCUAAUAAUAACUUACCUGGAAUAUGUCAUCUUUACAGGCCCUUCCAUAUAUGUGGAGUUGAAUCUCAGAGGAGGACAGGAUCACAUUUGAAGAGUUGCCAAAUGCAAGUAUUGAGCAGCUGACAGAGGUUCCCAAGGCUUCCGAAAAGGGACUCAGUCAAGAGGCAACUGAGACAACAUCAAGGACUUUCUAAAAACACAAGCUCAGCCAUAUGUCAAUGCAGAAAAUUACAGAGAAACACAGCUGCACCAGAAAAGUCAAUAAUCUUGUUGUCAGCUUAAUUGGAGGAAUAAGGAGAGAGACUAUGGUUCUGAAUUCCCAUGGUUCACUCAUACCUAUAGCCUAUUAAACAGCUGUCUAGAGGAGUUAAUGAAGCUUAAACCUUCUUUAAAGUUUAAUAACAGCAAUUAUUGUUGCUUCCUGGAGUGAAAAAUUCUACAGAAUUGGAAAGCAAAUAAUCUCUGUAAUUUGAAUCCAUGUAUUAACUGUCUCCUAUGCAAACAAUUAACAUGUAAUCUUGUAUUUCAUUAUCACAUGCUUUACUCUAAGAAAUCAUCAAAAGUCUUCUGCUAAUUUAUGUACAAUUUAUAGAUUAAAUGUUAGUUUGCAGUAUUCAUAGCAUUUAAGAUAUCAUUUGAUGUUAAACAUUAGGUAGAGUAUUAAAGGCAUGUGUUCCAUUGAGUUGAUUAUCCAGAACUGAAGAAAUAUGUGGUUCGCACAGUGUAUGUCAAUAAAGGCAUUUCAAAUUAUAUACUGGAAGUAUAGUUGUAUCUCCAUCUGCUACCUUUUGGGGGGAUGGUUAAGAGUAUGGUACCUGCAGCCCCCUUGUAGUAACUGGAAUCCAGAUAUGGUCGUUUAAUUAUUUGAUUGUAAGACCAUGGAGCUUCUGAAUGAAUCACACUAAGCUGAGACCAGCCAGCAGAAUGAACAGUUAGUCAGUAUUGAACAGUAAAAAAAAAAAAAAACAAUAGCACUACAAUGAACACACAC
Protopterus annectens (West African lungfish) is the source of this 1082-nucleotide long non-coding RNA. RefSeq lists it as uncharacterized. The record is from RefSeq and is a predicted model, not a curated record. Lineage: Eukaryota; Metazoa; Chordata; Ceratodontiformes; Protopteridae. The transcript is spliced from 4 exons.